GCACCCGUGGCUUAAUUGGAUAGAGCGUUGCCCUCCGGAGGCAAAGAUUACAGGUUCGAUUCCUGUCGGGCGCAUCA
Molecule: transfer RNA, 77 nt
Filed under: Candidatus Erwinia haradaeae
Lineage: Bacteria; Pseudomonadati; Pseudomonadota; Gammaproteobacteria; Enterobacterales; Erwiniaceae
Description: transfer RNA Arginine
Rfam family: tRNA
About the family: Transfer RNA (tRNA) molecules are approximately 80 nucleotides in length. Their secondary structure includes four short double-helical elements and three loops (D, anti-codon, and T loops).
Source: RNAcentral